AUGCUCGCUUUGGCAGCACAUAUACUAAAACUGGAAAUGAUACAGAGAAGAUUAGCAUGGACCCUGUGCCAGGAUGACAUGCAAAUUUAUAAGUGUUCCGUAUUUUU
Ictidomys tridecemlineatus (thirteen-lined ground squirrel) is the source of this 107-nucleotide small nuclear RNA. NCBI's taxonomy places the organism in Eukaryota, Metazoa, Chordata, Mammalia, Rodentia, Sciuridae. The record is from Ensembl.